AGGGCACCUGCCAAAUGCCAGCUCGAGCUCUCCUGUAUAAGCCUGCCGAAUGCCUGGGAUUCCAGGCAUGUGCUGCCACACCUGACUGGUUUUUGUAUUUUUGGUGGAGACGGGGUUUUGCCGUGUUGACUGGGCUGGUCUCCAGCUCCUGACCUCGAGUGAUCUGCCCGCCUCGGCCUCCCGAGGUGCUGGGAUUGCAGACGGAGUCGCGCUCAUUCAAUGCUCAAUGUUGCCCAGGCUGGAGUGCAGUGGCAUGAUCUCAGCUGGCUACAACCUCCACCUCCCAGCUGCCUGCCUUGGCCUCCCAAAGUGCUAAGAUCACAGCCUCUGCCUAGCCGCCACCCCGUCUAGGAAGUGAGGAGCGUCUCUGCCUGGCCGCCCAUUGUCUGGGAUGUCAGGAGACCCUCUGCCUGGCCACCCCAUCUGGGAAGUGAGGAUCGCCUCUGCCCAGCCACCACCCCGUCUAGGAAGUGAUGAGCGUCUCUGCCUGGCCGCCCAUCAUCUGGGAUGUGAGGAGCACCUAUGCCCGGCCGCCCCGUCUGGGAAGUGAGGAGUGCCUCUGCCCAGCCGCCACCCCAUCUGGGAGGUGAGGAGCAUCUCUGCCCAGCUGCCACCCCGUCUGGGAAGUGAGGAGUGCCUCUGCCCAGCCACCACCCCAUCUGGGAUGUGAGGGGCGCCUCUGCCCGGCUGCCACCCCAUCUGGGAAGUGAGGAGCGCUUCUGCCCGGCCGCCCUGUCUGGGAGGUGAGGAGCGCCUCUGCCCAGCCACCCCAUCGGGGAGGGGAGGAGUGCCUCUGUCCAGCCACCCUGUCUGGGAGGUGAGGAGCACCUCUGCCCGGCUGCCCUGUCUGGGAAGUGAGGAGCCCCUCUGCCUGGCCACCCAUCAUCUGGGAGGUGAGGAGUUCCUCUGCCCGGCCGCCCUUCAUCUGGGAGGUGAGGUGCGCCUCUGCCCAGCCACCCCACCUAGGAAGUGAGCGCCUCUGCCCAGCCACCCCGUCUGGGAGGUGAGGAGCGUCUCUGCCCAGCCACCCCUUCUGGGAGGUGAGGAGUGUCUCUGCCCGGCCGACCUGUCUGGGAAGUGAGGAGAACCUCUGCCCAGCUGCCUAUUGUCUGGGAAGUGAGGAGCACCUCUGCCUGGCCACCCCGUCUGGGAUGUGAGGAGCACCUCUGCCCGGCCGCCCCAUCUGGGAUAUGAGGAGUGCCUCUGCCCAGCCGCCACCCCGUCUGGGAAGUGAGGAGCACCUCUGCCUGGCCACUGUGCAAUCUUCCAAGUGUGAAGUGACAGCCUUUCUGCAGGUGUACCCAACAGCUCUGAAGAGACAGCAACCAUUGAGAUCGGGCCAUGACAAUGGCGGUUUUGUCGAAAAGAAAAGGGGGAAAUGUGGGUAAAAGAAAGAGAGAUCAGGUUGUUACUGUGUCUGUGUAGAAAGAAGUAGACAUAGGAGACUCCAUUUUGUUCUGUACUAAGAAAAAUUCGUCUGCCUUGGGAUGCUGUUAAUCUAUAACCUUACCCACAACCCCGUGCUCUCUGAAACAUGUGCUGUGUCAACUCAGGGUUAAAUGGAUUAAGGGCGGUGC
RNAcentral lists this long non-coding RNA (1577 nucleotides) under Homo sapiens (human). RNAcentral's name for it is "HSALNT0016321". Lineage: Eukaryota; Metazoa; Chordata; Mammalia; Primates; Hominidae. The record is from RNAcentral.